Ziziphus jujuba (common jujube) is the source of this 3257-nucleotide RNA transcript. It is a transcript of the gene named RNA polymerase II C-terminal domain phosphatase-like 2, with no coding region annotated. The record is from RefSeq and is a predicted model, not a curated record. The transcript has 15 exons. Lineage: Eukaryota; Viridiplantae; Streptophyta; Magnoliopsida; Rosales; Rhamnaceae.
GUUUGAAAGCUUACUUAGAGAGAGGGAGAGGGGAAGAGGAAGGGAGAGAGAGAGAGUGAGGGCGAUAACAAGGUCCUCUUUGGGAGAGCAAGAAAAUAUAGAGCGAAGCUGGAAUGUCACAGUAGAAAGUUCUAGAAACCUCCUAAUCUUAUAGUAGAAAGUUCCAGAAACCUCCUAAUCUUAUAGACAUUUACGUGUCUCACUUUUUUCAUUCUUUUCUCCACCACGUCCUCCUCAAGAUUGGUUCAGAGAGGAAUGAAUCGUUUAGGGUUUAAAUCCGUGGUCUAUCACGGCGACUUGUGUUUGGGAGAACUUGAUGUAAUUCCGGCGACGGACCAAAAUUUCCAGUUCCCAAACAACGAGAUUCGUAUCCAUCACAUAUCGCCACAGAGCGAACGAUGCCCUCCUCUUUCAAUUCUCCAAACAAUUUCUUCGUUUUCUGUUCGUUGCAAGCUCGAAUCUUCUUUGCCUGUUGAACAGCCUCAUUUGAUCCGUCUACAUGCCUCUUGUUUCUACGAAUUCAAGACGGCGGUAGUAUUGGUUGGAGACGAAGAGAUUCACUUAGUGGCUAUGCCCAGUAAGCAGAAGAAGUUUCCUUGCUUUUGGUGCUAUUCGGUUCCGGGGGGUUUAUACAAUGCUUCCUUAGGAAUGCUGAAUCUGCGGUGCCUCGCAAUCGUAUUCGAUCUUGAUGAGACGCUAAUUGUUGCGAACACCAUGAAAUCUUUCGAGGAUAGAAUCGAGGCUCUACGAGGUUGGAUUGAGCGGGAGACUGAUCCACUGCGUCUAUCUGGAAUGUCUGCUGAACUAAAGCGGUACAUUGAUGAUCGAGCGCUGUUGAAGCAGUAUGCGGAGGGUGAUUCUGUCAUGGAUAAUGGAAAGUUGUUGAAGGUUCAACUUGAAGAGGUUCCUCCAGUUUCCGAUAACCAUGAGAAAAUUGUCCGGCCUGUAAUUAGAUUGCAAGAGAAAAAUAUUGUUCUCACUCGAAUCAAUCCCGAGAUCCGUGAUACUAGUGUGCUUGUGAGGUUGCGACCUGCAUGGGAAGAUUUGAGAAGUUAUCUAACAGCAAAAGGACGAAAAAGGUUUGAAGUUUAUGUUUGUACCAUGGCUGAAAGAGAUUAUGCCUUAGAAAUGUGGAGACUUCUUGACCCUGGCGCACAUCUGAUAGGUUCAAAGCAACUCCUAGACCGUGUUGUUUGUGUCAAAUCAGGAUCCAGGAAAUCUUUAACUAGUGUCUUCCAAGAUGGUAUGUGCCAUUCGAAGAUGGCAAUGGUUAUUGAUGACCGUUCGAAGGUUUGGGAAGAUAAGGAUCAACCUCGUGUUCAUGUAGUUCCAGCAUUCACUCCUUACUAUGCUCCUCAGGCGGAGACAGCAAAUGCUGUUCCCGUCCUCUGUGUAGCAAGAAAUGUUGCAUGCAAUGUCAGAGGUUAUUUUUUCAAAGAAUUUGAUGAGAAUUUAUUGCGAAGGAUCUCUGAAAUUUUUUAUGAGGAUGAUGUGAUGAAUUUACCUCCCUCUCCUGAUGUGAGCAACUACUUAAUGUCAGAGGAUGCUGGUUUUGUACCAAAUGGCAAUACUAAUGCUCCUAUUAGUGAAGGAAUAAAUGGUGUUGAAGUUGAACAGAGAUUGAACCAACCUGAUGAUAGGCAUGUUAUAGACUUGACUGCUCAUUCUAUGACAAAUAAUGUGGAGUUGAGAUCUGGAACCUUGCAGUCACCUGUUGCAAUUUUUCCAAAUGCCACAGGUCCUGCAUCUGUGAGACCACUCAUGCCUUCGCAGAAACCAGGUUUACUUGGACCUCCUGUUAGACGAGAUAGCUUUUCUGAUCGUGAUUAUGACAUGAAGAGAGGACUGCUUCCUAUGAAGCAUAUAGACUUAAGGAAUCAAAGUGUAGGUGAACCGCCACUUCUAUCUAGAUUACCAACACAACCUUCAGCAACUGCAGUCCAGGCACAAGGAGGCUGGUUGGUGGAAGAUGAUGUGAAUAAAGGACAUCUAAAUAACCGAUCUUCAGGGCUUAUUAAAGAAUCUGAUGCAUUAAGAUCUGACAGGCAGAGAGCUCAUCAGAAUUCUUCUUCUUAUACAACCCCAGUCCCUGCUGCUCCUAGUUUAUUCUCACAAACCUCGGAAGUGAAGAGUGAGGAGGUAUACAGUGGACAUGAUUUACAGAAACAAAAUCUUCCUCAAGCCAGUCCGCCGUUGGAUGCUGGAGUCUCCAAGGACCAAGCACCAUCUUACAGUAGAGAAUCUCAACCUGAAGCUGGAAAAGCAAACCCGCUACCAUCCCCUUUAUCUAUUGGAGUACUGCAGGAAAUUGCACGAAGAUGCUGCUCAAAGGUUGAGUUCAGGUCUGUUUUAAGCACCAGCAAGGAUUUGCAGUUUUCUGUUGAGGUUCUGUUCACUGGCGAGAAGAUAGGUGUUGGAAUGGGUAAGACUAGGAAGGAUGCUCAACAACAAGCUGCUGAGAAUGCCCUUCACAGCUUGGCUGAAAAAUAUGUAGCGUAUGUUGCACCUCGUUCAGCAGCUGUGGACAAAGAUUUUGAUAAACUUUCUCUUGAAAAUGACAAUGGAUUUCUGUUCGACAUUAUCGAUCCUGGAUCGACUGAACUACUUAAAGAAGAUGAGUUGCCCAAGGAAAGUGCUCCUGAGGUGCGGAAUUCUUGAUGAUGCUUUCAAUAGUUAAUUUGCUUUUCUGUGUUCAAAAUACAUAGGUGAUGCUUGGAUAAGGGGUAUGUGGGCAAGACAUUUCCUGAUGGGGGUAGUGGUUAUCUGGUGAGAACCACUCCUUUUUUGGAUUUUGCAUCGCACCAAGAUGUGAUAGCUAAAACAAUGAAUGGGGAAUGAGCUGGCUUCAUGUCCGCUACUGCUGCCUAGUCCAGGCUUCAUUAUUUCCUGUUUUAAGAGAUUACCACAAUCUGUUUCCAAUAAACGAUCAAAGGAAGAAUUACACCGAAUUUCGCAGAAUUUAUCGUCCUAGUGGCAACAGAAGAAUGGAGAUCACGAUUCAUGAUCAGCUAGAAGAUCGGGAAGAAAUGAAACAAAAAGAGAGAAGGUUUUUGGAGCCCAAAGAUUAGCCAACACCAAAAACAACAUUUGGUGAAACAUGACUUGUAAUUUCGCUGCGGAAGGGUGGGGUAUUUUUUUGAUUUUGCCCUAAGCUUUCCUGCUUAAGGAGGAGGAGAUAUCGAGGGCUUGAAUUUGGCCUCACUUUGUACUCAGUCGCCUUGGCUUCCGUAUAGAUAAUUGAAUUUUUUUUUUGUCAA